AUCUAAUUAGUUUAUUAAAAAUAUUGGCUUGUGGAGCCGAGGAAGCAGAGCAAGGUCUGUAUUAGGUA
This 68-nucleotide transfer RNA is filed under the name Papunya picta. RNAcentral describes it as "tRNA-His". The record is from RNAcentral. Lineage: Eukaryota; Metazoa; Arthropoda; Insecta; Coleoptera; Cerambycidae.